This 131-nucleotide ribosomal RNA is filed under the name uncultured bacterium. Its description in RNAcentral is "partial 16S ribosomal RNA". It matches the Rfam family "Bacterial small subunit ribosomal RNA", at positions 356 to 504 of the family's 1533-position model. The record is from RNAcentral.
GGGGAAUAUUGCACAAUGGGGGAAACCCUGAUGCAGCGACGCCGCGUGAGUGAAGAAGUAUUUCGGUAUGUAAAGCUCUAUCAGCAGGGAAGAAAAUGACGGUACCUGACCAAGAAGCCCCGGCUAACUAC